This 1343-nucleotide ribosomal RNA is filed under the name uncultured bacterium. Its description in RNAcentral is "16S ribosomal RNA". It matches the Rfam family "Bacterial small subunit ribosomal RNA", at positions 28 to 1378 of the family's 1533-position model. The record is from RNAcentral.
GACGAACGCUGGCGGCAUGCUUAACACAUGCAAGUCGAACGGAAAGGCCCUGCUUUUGUGGGGUGCUCGAGUGGCGAACGGGUGAGUAACACGUGAGUAACCUGCCCUUGACUUUGGGAUAACUUCAGGAAACUGGGGCUAAUACCGGAUAGGAGCUCCUGCUGCAUGGUGGGGGUUGGAAAGCUUCGGCGGUUGGGGAUGGACUCGCGGCUUAUCAGCUUGUUGGUGGGGUAGUGGCUUACCAAGGCUUUGACGGGUAGCCGGCCUGAGAGGGUGACCGGCCACAUUGGGACUGAGAUACGGCCCAGACUCCUACGGGAGGCAGCAGUGGGGAAUAUUGCACAAUGGGCGGAAGCCUGAUGCAGCAACGCCGCGUGCGGGAUGACGGCCUUCGGGUUGUAAACCGCUUUCGCCUGUGACGAAGCGUGAGUGACGGUAAUGGGUAAAGAAGCACCGGCUAACUACGUGCCAGCAGCCGCGGUGAUACGUAGGGUGCGAGCGUUGUCCGGAUUUAUUGGGCGUAAAGGGCUCGUAGGUGGUUGAUCGCGUCGGAAGUGUAAUCUUGGGGCUUAACCCUGAGCGUGCUUUCGAUACGGGUUGACUUGAGGAAGGUAGGGGAGAAUGGAAUUCCUGGUGGAGCGGUGGAAUGCGCAGAUAUCAGGAGGAACACCAGUGGCGAAGGCGGUUCUCUGGGCCUUUCCUGACGCUGAGGAGCGAAAGCGUGGGGAGCGAACAGGCUUAGAUACCCUGGUAGUCCACGCUGUAAACGGUGGGUACUAGGUGUGGGGUCCAUUCCACGGGUUCCGUGCCGUAGCUAACGCUUUAAGUACCCCGCCUGGGGAGUACGGCCGCAAGGCUAAAACUCAAAGGAAUUGACGGGGCCCCGCACAAGCGGCGGAGCAUGCGGAUUAAUUCGAUGCAACGCGUAGAACCUUACCUGGGUUUGACAUGGAUCGGGAGUGCUCAGAGAUGGGUGUGCCUCUUUUGGGGUCGGUUCACAGGUGGUGCAUGGCUGUCGUCAGCUCGUGUCGUGAGAUGUUGGGUUAAGUCCCGCAACGAGCGCAACCCUUGUUCACUGUUGCCAGCACGUUAUGGUGGGGACUCAGUGGAGACCGCCGGGGUCAACUCGGAGGAAGGUGGGGAUGACGUCAAGUCAUCAUGCCCCUUAUGUCCAGGGCUUCACGCAUGCUACAAUGGCUGGUACAGAGAGUGGCGAGCCUGUGAGGGUGAGCGAAUCUCGGAAAGCCGGUCUCAGUUCGGAUUGGGGUCUGCAACUCGACCUCAUGAAGUCGGAGUCGCUAGUAAUCGCAGAUCAGCAACGCUGCGGUGAAUACGUUCCCGGG